Molecule: ribosomal RNA, 497 nt
Filed under: uncultured bacterium
Lineage: Bacteria
Description: partial 16S ribosomal RNA
Rfam family: Bacterial small subunit ribosomal RNA
Source: RNAcentral
GAUGAACGCUGGCGGCGUGCCUAACACAUGCAAGUCGAGCGAACGGACGAGAAGCUUGCUUCUCUGAUGUUAGCGGCGGACGGGUGAGUAACACGUGGAUAACCUACCUAUAAGACUGGGAUAACUUCGGGAAACCGGAGCUAAUACCGGAUGAUAUUUUGAACCGCAUGGUUCAAAAGUGAAAGACGGCCUUGCUGUCACUUAUAGAUGGAUCCGCGCUGCAUUAGCUAGUUGGUAAGGUAACGGCUUACCAAGGCAACGAUGCAUAGCCGACCUGAGAGGGUGAUCGGCCACACUGGAACUGAGACACGGUCCAGACUCCUACGGGAGGCAGCAGUAGGGAAUCUUCCGCAAUGGGCGAAAGCCUGACGGAGCAACGCCGCGUGAGUGAUGAAGGUCUUCGGAUCGUAAAACUCUGUUAUUAGGGAAGAACAUAUGUGUAAGUAACUGUGCACAUCUUGACGGUACCUAAUCAGAAAGCCACGGCUAACUACGUG